CAGUAGCCGCGGUAAUACGUAGGUGGCAAGCGUUGUCCGGAAUUAUUGGGCGUAAAGGGCUCGCAGGCGGUUUCUUAAGUCUGAUGUGAAAGCCCCCGGCUCAACCGGGGAGGGUCAUUGGAAACUGGGAAACUUGAGUGCAGAAGAGGAGAGUGGAAUUCCACGCGUAGCGGUGAAAUGCGUAGAGAUGUGGAGGAACACCAGUGGCGAAGGCGACUCUCUGGUCUGUAACUGACGCUGAGGAGCGAAAGCGUGGGGAGCGAACAGGAUUAGAUACCCCCGUAGUCCCUGUCUCUUAUAC
This 301-nucleotide ribosomal RNA is filed under the name uncultured bacterium. Its description in RNAcentral is "partial 16S ribosomal RNA". It matches the Rfam family "Bacterial small subunit ribosomal RNA", at positions 509 to 807 of the family's 1533-position model. The record is from RNAcentral.